CCGCUUGAUCGAGGUCAGGAUAAUUAAUAAAGCUUAUGAGAUAGUCCAAGACAGAGAGGAUGACGUUACGAGAGUUACCAAGCCACAUCGAACCCUAAGAGUCUAUGGUUGUUGACAUUCCAAUUAGUAGGAACCAAUACACUGACCUGUAAGCAUAGUAGCAUAAUUAAGCCACACUUACAAGGAAGCGUAGUGUUGUCAACACUAUUUCACAGUAAUGCUUAAUAAUUAAAGAAGAACCACUAGAGCUACCUCCGUAUUAAGCUAUCCGUUCAGACCGUGAUAAGCUUAACUGGAAAUCAUGUAGCCAUGGUAUGCUUCCCAAUCCGUGAACAAUUAAGCGUCACGAUAGGUUUAAGCCGACACUCGAUCAAACGUGGCUAAGGGCAAGCCCAAAGCCGCCAUUUGCGUUCGAGAUACCGAUGUUCGAAGCAGUCUGCGUUUCACAUUGUUUAACACAGUUUGCUGCACUCUUCAUCGAUACGUGAGCCGAGUGAUCCACCACAUGGAGUUAUACAAUUAUAAGCUUCUUCCUUAAGGCGCUUACCUAUACGUAGUACUGAGUUAACAGUUCAGGCAUAGAGUGUGGAAUUCAAGAAACCACUGUAGUAAAUACGUUUUGCCGAAGCAUAGUAACAACAAUAGCAUUAGAAUAAUUCCGAUAGUCAGACCGUACCUUACCAGUCGUUACAAUUAUGGAAAGGAAGACUACCAGACAAGCUAAUGCUACUAGCUGACAUUACGGAUAAGCUGACAUCAGAGUCAGACCGAUCACCUAACAGUACUGAACGCUAUAUUUUCAGAACUAGUGACCAGUCACUUAUACGUAACCAUACAUGGCCAUUACAGCCUCUGAGCAAGGAUUACUCCUCACUCUUACAAUAAACAAAGGAUAUAUGGUAU
RNAcentral lists this unclassified non-coding RNA (903 nucleotides) under Gyrodactyloides sp. IP-2012. RNAcentral's name for it is "sequence contains ITS1, 5.8S rRNA gene and ITS2". The record is from RNAcentral. Lineage: Eukaryota; Metazoa; Platyhelminthes; Monogenea; Gyrodactylidea; Gyrodactylidae.